GGAUUGACAGAGUUGCAAGUCUGCGUGCAGAAAACUAAUGAGACUCUCAGAGAGUAUAUUCAGAGGUGGAUCACUUUGCACCACACUGUGGAAAAUGUCUCUGAUCAUCAGGCAGUAUGCGCCUUCAAAGACGGCGUCAAGAACAGAGAACUGAGUUUGAAAUUUGGUCGAACCGGUGACAUGACCUUGAGUCGGAUGAUGGAGAUUGCUACCAAGUACGCCAACGGCGAAGAAGAAGACCGACUCCGAAGCGGCAAGCACAAGCCGAGUCAGUCGGAAAAAGGAAACACCAGUCGGAAACAGAAGCGGAAGGCUGAACCGGCAGCUCCUGGAGAGGCUCUGGCCGUGACUCAAGGAAAGUUUAAGGGGAAACCAAAAGGAUCCUGGAACCCCAAGAAGAUAAAGGAUAAAGAAGGGAACGACGUGAUGGAUAUGCCGUGUCACAUUCACACGAAGAAAGAUGAAGAGGGGAAUAUCAUUUACCCAAAGCACACCACUCGCCAAUGUCGACUCCUGAUCCAGCAGUUUCAGGAAAAACAGUCUAAGGACAAGGAGAAGGAGUCGGACAAGGCCGAAGACAAAGAGGACAGUGAGGGAGGAUAUCCGCAUAUCAACUCCACUCUGAUGAUCUUUGCAGAUGUGGAAAGCAGAAGUCGACUGAAAGUGAUUAACCGAGAGGUGAACAUGGUUGCCCCAGCAAAGGCAAAUUAUCUGAAGUGGUCUCAAACACCCAUCACAUUCGACCAAUCUGAUCACCCGACUCAUAUUGCCACCCCUGGGAGGCAAGCUUUGGUGGUCGAUCCAGUUGUCGAAGGCACUCGACUGACAAAGGUGCUGAUGGAUGGUGGAAGUGGG
RNAcentral lists this ribosomal RNA (855 nucleotides) under Triticum aestivum (bread wheat). Its description in RNAcentral is "partial small subunit ribosomal RNA". Lineage: Eukaryota; Viridiplantae; Streptophyta; Magnoliopsida; Poales; Poaceae. The record is from RNAcentral.